UAGACAUUCUGAACCCCAUUGUUUGUAUGACUCUUUGAACAAUGUGUCUCAGAGUGUUGU
RNAcentral lists this microRNA precursor (60 nucleotides) under Sarcophilus harrisii (Tasmanian devil). Its description in RNAcentral is "Sha-Mir-12475-P28_pre stem-loop". Lineage: Eukaryota; Metazoa; Chordata; Mammalia; Dasyuromorphia; Dasyuridae. The record is from RNAcentral.